UACAGGUUGAGAUUCCUGUACUACAGUAUGACAGAACUGUGGGGACGCAGAAGGAGAGCACUACCUGGAAUGGAAUCCAGGGGCAAGCACAGGAGGGGUACGGCUGGAAAAACCGCCGUGCAACCCAAAGGUGUGACGCAUACCGAACUAAAGUAGGGAAAUGUGUGAGCCGGCUGCCGAGAAAAGCCGCUAUUGUUUGUACUGUACCCGUACCGUAAACCGACACAGGUGGAUGAGGAGAGAAUCCUAAGGCCGACGGAAGAAGCAUUGCUAAGGAACUCGGCAAAAUGACCCUGUAACUUCGGGAGAAAGGGUGCCUCGAAAGAGGCCGCAGAGAAUAGGCCCAAGCAACUGUUUAGCAAAAACACAGGUCUAUGCAAAACCGCAAGGUGAAGUAUAUGGGCUGACGCCUGCCCGGUGCUGGAAGGUUAAGGGGAGAUGUCAGGAGACGAAGCAUCGAACUUAAGCCCCAGUAAACGGCGGCCGUAACAAUAACGGUCCUAAGGUAGCGAAAUUCCUUGUCGGGUAAGUUCCGACCCGCACGAAAGGCGUAAUGAUUUGGGCGCUGUCUCGGCAAUGCAUCCGGUGAAAUUGAAGUGCCAGUGAAGGUGCUGGCUACCCGCGCCAGGACGGAAAGACCCCAUGGAGCUUUACUCCAGCUUGAUACUGGGAUUCGGUAUUGUAUGUACAGGAUAGGUGGGAGGCUGAGAAAUGGUGACGCCAGUCGCCAUGGAGCCGCUGUUGGGAUACCACCCUUGCAGUACUGGAUUUCUAACCAGCAGCCGUGAUCCGGCUGGGGGACAAUGUCAGGUGGGGAGUUUGACUGGGGCGGUCGCCUCCGAAAGGGUAUUGGAGGCGCUCAAAGGUUCCCUCAGAAUGGUCGGAAACCAUUCGAAGAGUGCAAAGGCAGAAGGGAGCUUGACUGCGACACCGACGGGUGGGGCAGGUACGAAAGUAGGACUUAGUGAUCCGGUGGUAUUAAGUGGGAAUGCCAUCGCUCAACGGAUAAAAGCUACCCUGGGAUAACAGGCUUAUCACUCCCAAGAGUUCACAUCGACGGAGUGGUUUGGCACCUCGAUGUCGGCUCAUCGCAUCCUGGGGCUGUAGUAGGUCCCAAGGGUUGGGCUGUUCGCCCAUUAAAGCGGUACGCGAGCUGGGUUCAGAACGUCGUGAGACAGUUCGGUCCCUAUCCGGCGUGGGCGUAGGAUAUUUGAGAGGAGCUGACCUUAGUACGAGAGGACCGGGUUGGACUGACCUCUGGUGCACCGGUUGUCAUGCCAAUGGCACAGCCGGGUAGCCAAGUCGGGAAGGGAUAAACGCUGAAGGCAUCUAAGCGUGAAGCCCCCCUCAAGAUGAGAUAUCCCCCGCAUAAGCGGUAAGACCCCUUGAAGACGACGAGGUAGAUAGGGCAGAGGUGGAAGUGCAGUAAUGUAUGGAGCUGACUGCUACUAAUAGGUCGAAGGCUUAAC
Molecule: ribosomal RNA, 1469 nt
Filed under: metagenome
Description: bacterial LSU rRNA
Rfam family: Bacterial large subunit ribosomal RNA
Source: RNAcentral